AGGGUUUGAUCCUGGCUCAGGACGAACGCUGGCGGCGUGCCUAACACAUGCAAGUCGAACGAGAAUCCGUGGAAGGAGGCUUCGGCCAACGGAAGCGGAGGACAGUGGCGGACGGGUGAGUAACGCGUGAGCAACCUGCCUUGGAGUGGGGGACAACAGAGGGAAACUUCUGCUAAUACCGCAUAAUGUGCCGGGAAGGCAUCUUCCUGGUACCAAAGAUUUAUCGCUCUAAGAUGGGCUCGCGUCUGAUUAGAUAGUUGGUGGGGUAACGGCCCACCAAGUCGACGAUCAGUAGCCGGACUGAGAGGUUGAACGGCCACAUUGGGACUGAGAUACGGCCCAG
Molecule: ribosomal RNA, 343 nt
Filed under: uncultured bacterium
Lineage: Bacteria
Description: bacterial SSU rRNA
Rfam family: Bacterial small subunit ribosomal RNA
Source: RNAcentral